RNAcentral lists this microRNA precursor (141 nucleotides) under Canis lupus familiaris (dog). RNAcentral describes it as "miRNA (ENSCAFG00845026191.1)". The stretch from base 22 to 116 matches the Rfam family "mir-8813 microRNA precursor family". The record is from RNAcentral. Lineage: Eukaryota; Metazoa; Chordata; Mammalia; Carnivora; Canidae.
CAGGUCACUUUGCACAGACCCUGGUGACCUGAGGCUCCCUGACUGUCACUCUGUCCCGCCCAUUCUGGCCCACAGGGCACAGGCUGAGUCCCAGUAAAGUCUGUGAGGCCUGACCCUGGCGUCCGGCCACCCCUGGAUGGC